UACAGAGGUCUCAAGCGUUGUUCGGAUUCAUUGGGCGUAAAGGGUGCGUAGGCGGCGCGGUAAGUCGGGUGUGAAAUCUUGGAGCUUAACUCCGAAACUGCAUUCGAUACUGCCGUGCUUGAGGACUGGAGAGGAGACUGGAAUUUACGGUGUAGCGGUGAAAUGCGUAGAUAUCGUAAGGAACACCAGUGGCGAAGGCGGCUAACUGGUCCGGUUCUGACGCUGAGGCGCGAAAGCGUGGGGAGCAAACAGG
RNAcentral lists this ribosomal RNA (253 nucleotides) under uncultured bacterium. Its description in RNAcentral is "partial 16S ribosomal RNA". It matches the Rfam family "Bacterial small subunit ribosomal RNA", at positions 524 to 776 of the family's 1533-position model. The record is from RNAcentral.